GACGAACGCUGGCGGCGUGCUUAACACAUGCAAGUCGAACGGAAAGGCCCUGCUUUUGUGGGGUGCUCGAGUGGCGAACGGGUGAGUAACACGUGAGUAACCUGCCCUUGACGUUGGGAUAACUGCAGGAAACUGGGGCUAAUACCGGAUAGGAGCUCCUGCUGCAGGGUGGGGGUUGGAAAGUUUCGGCGGUGGGGGAUGGACUCGGGGCUUAUCAGCUUGUUGGGGGGGGAGCGGCUUACCAAGGCUUUGAAGGGUCGCCGGCCUGGGAGGGUGACCGGCCACAUUGGGACUGAGAUAGGCACCAGUCUCCAACGGGGGGCAGCGGUGGGAAAUAUUGCCCAAUGGGGGGAAGCCUGAUGAAGCAGCGCCGCGUGCGGAAUGACGGCCUUGGGGUUGUAAACCGCUUUCGCCUGUGACCAAGCGUGAGUGACGGUAAUGAGUAAAGAAGCACCGGCUAACUACGUG
RNAcentral lists this ribosomal RNA (468 nucleotides) under uncultured bacterium. RNAcentral describes it as "partial 16S ribosomal RNA". It matches the Rfam family "Bacterial small subunit ribosomal RNA", at positions 28 to 507 of the family's 1533-position model. The record is from RNAcentral.